AUUGAACGCUGGCGGCAGGCCUAACACAUGCAAGUCGAGCGGAUGAAGGGAGCUUGCUCCUGGAUUCAGCGGCGGACGGAUGAGUAAUGCCUAGGAAUCUGCCUGGUAGUGGGGGAUAACGUCCGGAAACGGGCGCUAAUACCGCAUACGUCCUGAGGGAGAAAGUGGGGGAUCUUCGGACCUCACGCUAUCAGAUGAGCCUAGGUCGGAUUAGCUAGUUGGUGGGGUAAAGGCCUACCAGGGCGACGAUCCGUAACUGGUCUGAGAGGAUGAUCAGUCACACUGGAACUGAGACACGGUCCAGACUCCUACGGGAGGCAGCAGUGGGGAAUAUUGGACAAUGGGCGAAAGCCUGAUCCAGCCAUGCCGCGUGUGUGAAGAAGGUCUUCGGAUUGUAAAGCACUUUAAGUUGGGAGGAAGGGCAGUAAGUUAAUACCUUGCUGUUUUGACGUUACCAACAGAAUAAGCACCGGCUAACUUCGUG
RNAcentral lists this ribosomal RNA (484 nucleotides) under uncultured bacterium. RNAcentral's name for it is "partial 16S ribosomal RNA". It matches the Rfam family "Bacterial small subunit ribosomal RNA", at positions 30 to 507 of the family's 1533-position model. The record is from RNAcentral.